ACAAAUCACUAAAAAAAAUUCAUUUUUAGCAGACAUUUCAAGGGUUGGAAGAUUCAAAUUUUCACUUACAGAAGUGCAGUGAAUAUGUGAAAGUUAUUUGAUAAAUAACGUUAAAAUAACAUAUCAUCAACUAUCCGCAACAAAAUCCAAAAUCAACUGUUUAAGCAAAUGCCAACUCCAUUUCUUCGCUGGUAUUACCUGCUUGUAAAAUUAUAUGUACGUAUGUAUUUAAGUCAUGUAUGUAUGCAUACAAAUAAAUUGGUGUAUAUGUUUACGUGUGUAUGUACCACCAGAAUGCUUAUAUACUGAAGAUUUAUUAAGACUACAAUUGAUAUAAAGAGAUUUACUUUCAAUGUUUUGGCGGACAUAUUAAGUGUUGGAAGAAUAUCAGGUUUUCAUAUACUUCAACCUUACAAAACUUUCAAAGUCAUUUUAGUCAUCAUUCAUUUUUGGCCUCAAUUCUUCACGCGCCUGCCUAAUUCAUUCCAAUCUUAACAUUUUGUUCAAACUCAUGGGUUUUACAAAAAGCUCUUUGGGCAAGUUCGGCGAAAACUUAAACAUUUUCUUCUUAUUUCAUCGGAGGAUAUAGUGCGGAGAUAAAAGAUUGUGUUACAAUGGUACGUAUGUACAU
Molecule: long non-coding RNA, 631 nt
Organism: Drosophila suzukii
Lineage: Eukaryota; Metazoa; Arthropoda; Insecta; Diptera; Drosophilidae
Source: RefSeq, a predicted model, not a curated record